Molecule: transfer RNA, 52 nt
Filed under: Convolvulus scoparius
Lineage: Eukaryota; Viridiplantae; Streptophyta; Magnoliopsida; Solanales; Convolvulaceae
Description: partial tRNA-His
Rfam family: tRNA
About the family: Transfer RNA (tRNA) molecules are approximately 80 nucleotides in length. Their secondary structure includes four short double-helical elements and three loops (D, anti-codon, and T loops).
Source: RNAcentral
GGGCGGAUGUAGCCAAGUGGAUUAAGGCGGUGGAUUGUGAAUCCACCAUGCG